GCGCCUGUAACUCAGUGGAUAGAGCGUAGCUUUCCUAAGCUAUGGUCGCAGGUUCGACCCCUACCUGGAGCG
Molecule: transfer RNA, 72 nt
Filed under: Nicotiana sylvestris (wood tobacco)
Lineage: Eukaryota; Viridiplantae; Streptophyta; Magnoliopsida; Solanales; Solanaceae
Also listed under: 1 other name
Rfam family: tRNA
About the family: Transfer RNA (tRNA) molecules are approximately 80 nucleotides in length. Their secondary structure includes four short double-helical elements and three loops (D, anti-codon, and T loops).
Source: Rfam by way of RNAcentral